UGGUUGAUUGAUGUGUAACUCUUUAGA
This 27-nucleotide non-coding RNA is filed under the name Homo sapiens (human). Lineage: Eukaryota; Metazoa; Chordata; Mammalia; Primates; Hominidae. The record is from RNAcentral.